RNAcentral lists this ribosomal RNA (802 nucleotides) under Pseudomonas fluorescens. RNAcentral describes it as "bacterial SSU rRNA". It matches the Rfam family "Bacterial small subunit ribosomal RNA", at positions 100 to 898 of the family's 1533-position model. The record is from RNAcentral. Lineage: Bacteria; Pseudomonadati; Pseudomonadota; Gammaproteobacteria; Pseudomonadales; Pseudomonadaceae.
GGACGGGUGAGUAAUGCCUAGGAAUCUGCCUGGUAGUGGGGGAUAACGUUCGGAAACGGACGCUAAUACCGCAUACGUCCUACGGGAGAAAGCAGGGGACCUUCGGGCCUUGCGCUAUCAGAUGAGCCUAGGUCGGAUUAGCUAGUUGGUGAGGUAAUGGCUCACCAAGGCGACGAUCCGUAACUGGUCUGAGAGGAUGAUCAGUCACACUGGAACUGAGACACGGUCCAGACUCCUACGGGAGGCAGCAGUGGGGAAUAUUGGACAAUGGGCGAAAGCCUGAUCCAGCCAUGCCGCGUGUGUGAAGAAGGUCUUCGGAUUGUAAAGCACUUUAAGUUGGGAGGAAGGGUUGUAGAUUAAUACUCUGCAAUUUUGACGUUACCGACAGAAUAAGCACCGGCUAACUCUGUGCCAGCAGCCGCGGUAAUACAGAGGGUGCAAGCGUUAAUCGGAAUUACUGGGCGUAAAGCGCGCGUAGGUGGUUUGUUAAGUUGGAUGUGAAAUCCCCGGGCUCAACCUGGGAACUGCAUUCAAAACUGACUGACUAGAGUAUGGUAGAGGGUGGUGGAAUUUCCUGUGUAGCGGUGAAAUGCGUAGAUAUAGGAAGGAACACCAGUGGCGAAGGCGACCACCUGGACUAAUACUGACACUGAGGUGCGAAAGCGUGGGGAGCAAACAGGAUUAGAUACCCUGGUAGUCCACGCCGUAAACGAUGUCAACUAGCCGUUGGAAGCCUUGAGCUUUUAGUGGCGCAGCUAACGCAUUAAGUUGACCGCCUGGGGAGUACGGCCGCAAGGUUUAA